GACGAACGCUGGCGGCGUGCUUAACACAUGCAAGUCGAACGAUGAAGCUGGAGCUUGCUCCGGUGGAUUAGUGGCGAACGGGUGAGUAACACGUGAGCAAUCUGCCCUUGACUCUGGGAUAACUGCGGGAAACUGUAGCUAAUACCGGAUACUUUCCUUGGUGGGCAUCCACUGGGGAAGAAAGAAUUUCGGUCAAGGAUGAGCUCGCGGCCUAUCAGCUAGUUGGUGAGGUAAUGGCUCACCAAGGCGACGACGGGUAGCCGGCCUGGGAGGGUGACCGGCCACACUGGAACUGAGACACGGUCCAGACUCCUACGGGAGGCAGCAGUGGGGAAUAUUGCACAAUGGGCGAAAGCCUGAUGCAGCAACGCCGCGUGAGGGACGAAGGCCUUCGGGUUGUAAACCUCUUUUAGCAGGGAAGAAGCGAAAGUGACGGUACCUGCAGAAAAAGCACCGGCUAACUACGUGCCAGCAGCCGCGGUAA
Molecule: ribosomal RNA, 484 nt
Filed under: uncultured bacterium
Lineage: Bacteria
Description: partial 16S ribosomal RNA
Rfam family: Bacterial small subunit ribosomal RNA
Source: RNAcentral